RNAcentral lists this ribosomal RNA (252 nucleotides) under uncultured Bacteroidales bacterium. RNAcentral's name for it is "partial 16S ribosomal RNA". It matches the Rfam family "Bacterial small subunit ribosomal RNA", at positions 524 to 776 of the family's 1533-position model. The record is from RNAcentral. Lineage: Bacteria; Pseudomonadati; Bacteroidota; Bacteroidia; Bacteroidales.
UACGGAGGAUGCGAGCGUUAUCCGGAUUUAUUGGGUUUAAAGGGUGCGUAGGCGGAAUAUCAAGUCAGCGGUAAAAAUUCGGGGCUCAACGCCGUAUCGCCGUUGAAACUGCAGGUCUUGAGUGAGCGAGAAGUAUGCGGAAUGCGUGGUGUAGCGGUGAAAUGCAUAGAUAUCACGCAGAACUCCGAUUGCGAAGGCAGCAUACCGGCGCCCGACUGACGCUGAAGCACGAAAGCGUGGGUAUCGAACAGG